UACGUAGGCAGCGAGCGUUGUUCGGAGUUACUGGGCGUAAAGGGUGUGUAGGCGGUUGUUUAAGUUUGGUGUGAAAUCUCCCGGCUCAACCGGGAGGGUGCGCGGAAUACUGACGGGCUAGAGUGCGGGAUGGGAGAGUAGAAUUCCUGGUGUAGCGGUGAAAUGCGUAGAUAUCAGGAGGAAUACCGGUGGUGUAGACGGCUCUCUGGACCGCAACUGACGCUGAGACACGAAAGCGUGGGUAGCAAACAGG
RNAcentral lists this ribosomal RNA (253 nucleotides) under uncultured bacterium. Its description in RNAcentral is "partial 16S ribosomal RNA". It matches the Rfam family "Bacterial small subunit ribosomal RNA", at positions 524 to 776 of the family's 1533-position model. The record is from RNAcentral.